CCUACGGGAGGCAGCAGUAGGGAAUAUUGCUCAAUGGGGGAAACCCUGAAGCAGCAACGCCGCGUGGAGGAUGAAGGUUUUCGGAUUGUAAACUCCUUUUGUUAGAGAAGAUAAUGAACGUAUCUAAAGAAUAAGCACCGGCUAAAUCAGGGCCCGCAGCCGCGGGAAUAAGGAGGGUGCAAGCGUUUCUCGGAAUCACUGGGCGUAAAGAGCGCGUAGGCGGGAUAGCAAGUCAGCUGUGAAAUCCUAUGGCUUAACCAUAGAACUGCAUUUGAAACUGGUAUUCUAGAGUAUGGGAGAGGUUGGUGGAAUUCUUGGUGUAGGGGUAAAAUCCGUAGAGAUCAAGAGGAAUACUCAUUGCGAAGGCGACCAGCUAGAACAUAACUGACGCUGAGGCGCGAAAGCGUGGGGAGCAAACAGGAUUAGAUACCCCAGUAGUC
Molecule: ribosomal RNA, 440 nt
Filed under: uncultured bacterium
Lineage: Bacteria
Description: partial 16S ribosomal RNA
Rfam family: Bacterial small subunit ribosomal RNA
Source: RNAcentral